AGUGAACGCUGGCGGUAGGCCUAACACAUGCAAGUCGAACGGCAGCACAGUAAGAGCUUGCUCUUACGGGUGGCGAGUGGCGGACGGGUGAGGAAUACAUCGGAAUCUACUUUUUCGUGGGGGAUAACGUAGGGAAACUUACGCUAAUACCUCAUACGACCUACGGGUGAAAGCAGGGGAUCUUCGGACCUUGCGCGAUUGAAUGAGCCGAUGUCGGAUUAGCUAGUUGGCAGGGUAAAGGCCCACCAAGGCGACGAUCCGUAGCUGGUCUGAGAGGAUGAUCAGCCACACUGGAACUGAGACACGGUCCAGACUCCUACGGGAGGCAGCAGUGGGGAAUAUUGGACAAUGGGCGCAAGCCUGAUCCAGCCAUACCGCGUGGGUGAAGAAGGCCUUCGGGUUGUAAAGCCCUUUUGUUGGGAAAGAAAAGCAGCAGGUUAAUACCCCGCUGUUCUGACGGUACCCAAAGAAUAAGCACCGGCUAACUUCGUG
Molecule: ribosomal RNA, 492 nt
Filed under: uncultured bacterium
Lineage: Bacteria
Description: partial 16S ribosomal RNA
Rfam family: Bacterial small subunit ribosomal RNA
Source: RNAcentral